RNAcentral lists this ribosomal RNA (253 nucleotides) under uncultured bacterium. RNAcentral describes it as "partial 16S ribosomal RNA". It matches the Rfam family "Bacterial small subunit ribosomal RNA", at positions 524 to 776 of the family's 1533-position model. The record is from RNAcentral.
UACGGGGGGGGCAAGCGUUGUUCGGAAUUACUGGGCGUAAAGGGCUCGUAGGCGGCCAACUAAGUCAGACGUGAAAUCCCUCGGCUUAACCGGGGAACUGCGUCUGAUACUGGAUGGCUUGAGGUUGGGAGAGGGAUGCGGAAUUCCAGGUGUAGCGGUGAAAUGCGUAGAUAUCUGGAGGAAUACCGGUGGCGAAGGCGGCAUCCUGGACCGGCAUUGACGCUGAUGAGCGAAAGCUAGGGGAGCAAACGGG